UUCUUUUUUAAUGAAAUACAUGGUGGUACAUGAAAAGCCAGUUUGUAAACUGAAACUGUUUUAUUUAUAUUUAUACUAGAGGCCCCUCAGUGUGGCCUGCAGGGAUUAGGCUGAAACCGCAGUCCAAGGCCACCUGCUGCGCCUGCCUGCCGCUCCUGCUCAUCCUGGCCCCACUGCACCUUCUGUGAGCUCGUGCCCAGUGAGUCCUGAUCUAUGGGGAGCCCUGCGUCUGGCGCCCAUAGAUGAGCUGAGCAGCAUUCCUGCUGUGGAAGCGCACUGACCACCAGGGGGCAGCUCCUGUGUUGAGCAUCUGCCCCCUGGUGGUCAGUGUGCAUCAUAGCGACUGGCCAUCCAGUCAUUUGGUUGCUUAGGCAUUUAUGCAUUAUUUAUUUAUUUAUUUAUUUAUUUAUAUUUGCCUCAUUUUUUGUCAAAGUUUAAUUCAUUUCAUUUGAUUCUCAUAAUUGGAAAUUAAAUAUUCAGCACCAUUGUAUAGACUUAUUUUUCCUGUUGGAAAUAGCAAAUUAUGAUGACUUGGACCAAAAAAAUAGAAAUUGGAGCUCUUUGGUGUUCAGUGCCUAGCCUUAUAGUUUUGCCUUUAAUUAUGAAGAUAUGUGAUGAUCUCUGAAGACCUAAAGUAAAUAGCAUGCGCUUUCUUUUCUUUCUUUGUAAAAUAGAUGGUAUGUUCUAGAAGAGUCACCUCUGGGCUUGUAGUGUUUCAUAAAAUACACAGGUCUGUGUACAUACUUAUUCUGUGAGCAAAAGUCUAUGCCUUUUCUGGUAUUUUUCACCUAAGAAAAUCUUGAAUAGCUAGAAGCUCCAUUAUUCUUGGUGUGUAAUAAGCCCUAGAGUUUAUAUCCAAAUCCAGGCCAUGCAGGAGCUCAGAGCCAUUCAGUAAAACUCAUGAACAGCCUGCUUUGUGGCAGACUGAGCGUCCUUUUUGUUUUGGAAAGCCUCAGAGUGGGGCGGUUUAUGUGUGGGAAUGACCAGUCAAAAUAGCAAGACAGAUAGAGGCAAGAAUGUCAUUUUUCAAAAUGUAAACGGGGAGGAGUGGUGCAUAUGUCAAAACAGAGCACAGGUGGAGAUGGGCGGGGAUCGGUGAUAGUGUCAAAGACAAAACAAAACAAACCGCAAUCUUACCUUUGUGGAGCUACAGAAUUAUUAAAUACCUUUGGAAAAUGUCCUUCCUACCCUCUCAAACUCAGGAUUUUUGCUCUUGUGGAUGACACUGGAAUGUGUCACGGGCACUCCUUUUUUUGACUAUUCUGAAAUGUUUGUUCAUUUUUCUAGUAAGAAGGAAGAAAAAGUUCUCCUUGAAGAGUUCAUUGGAAAUUAAGAAUAUUUAUUUUUAGGAUGUGAUCUGAAAGCGCAGUGGUUAGUGUGAUUGGCCACGGAGUGGCCAGGCGGCAGCCCCGGGCAGUAGUCCUGGCUAGCACGUCUUUGCCGCGAUGGAGAAACGGUGUUGCGUUCAUUGUAAUUCUUUCAUUCCCUUCCUUGCCAAACCCCAUGGCUUCUGUUGUAACAUGUGGCGACUUCUCCCCUGGAGACUAACUCAGUCCAAGUUACCAUAAUAUUUAGGACCAGCUACAAAGGCAUUUCUUUCCCUAAGCCCAUGCCAAAUCUCAGCCCAGCUAGCUUCUCCUCCCUGGCCACUCCAAUAGAACCAGCUCUUCUUCGAAAAGGACAAGAAGUGCACAGGCCUCUGUUUUAUGCCUGUUCAAACAGAUUAAUACACAAGGCACCUCAUGCCUGCCGUUGCUUUGAGUUCUUCACUUGCUUCCAGAGUAGUCUGUGAUAGUCUGUUAAUUUUGAGAGUGGCACCUUAGAUAUCUAGAAAGAGGAAAGGAGAUUCUGAGUCUACAACAGACUGUCUGCUGUCAGUGCUGAUGGAGAAAGGAAGAGUGACUCUAAGACCACAGGCCUUCCCGCUGCGGCUCUGAGCUUCCGGGCAAGCCUGGGCUCCGGAGACCCAGGCCAGGCGGGGCCGGGAGACGUUCUCAUCCCUAGCGGCCUUGGAUCUUCUACCUGCUAAAGACAUCACAUAAAACAAAGUAACGUCAAUCCUUAAGAAAGAACGCCUAGCAAAAUAGGAAAAGGGUUCCUAAUAAAUUUGUUCUGACCUGUAAACCUGGCCACUUUCCGCCUGGCAUUUGAUCCAUGUACCACAUACCUGUUUCAUUCAUCCUUGUUAUAUAAUUACUUGUUAAAGUAAUUAUAUCCCAUAACCAGCUUUGUUAGUAUGCAUUAAUUGGUUCAUAUUUUUUAGCGAGAUUUACUUCCCUUCACUGCUUAUUUUAUUGGUUUGAGGCCUGACUUUCAACACAAUUCAUUUUUAUGGGUUGUGUUUCUGUCUUUUUAAUUUGUUGAUUAUGUGAUACAUACAGAAGGGCAUAUCUAACAUAUAAGUAAGCACUAAAGCACAAUCAAAACAAAACGUGCUGUAGUGAGCCCCACCCAGGUGAACAGUUAGCUUACUAGUAUAGGAUGGAACAUACUUUUGGAUUUCUCUGUAGGACUUUGUUUCCCUCGUUCUCUGACUUCCUCACAAUUCUGAAAUUGUGUUUAUAAUUCUUUUGACUUUUCAAACAAAUAUGUUUUAUCACAUAAAUGUGCAUUGUUAAAGGUAUUUUUAUUUUAUUUUUUAAUACUCACUGGAGGAUAUUUUUUUCCAUUGAUUUCUAGAGAGAGUGGAAGGGAGGGAAGAGGGGGAGAGAAAGAGAGAGACACAUCAGUGGGUUGCCUCCUGCACGUGCCCCUACCAGGGUUGGGGGACCUGCAACCGAGGUCAGUGCCCUUGACUGGGAUUCGAACCUGAGACUCUGGUCUUCAGGCUGAUGCUCCAACCACUGAGCCAAACCGGUAUUUUUAGACACAUAAAAUUUGUGUCACACUUUAUGUGGCUUUCUGCAGGUUAUGUUUUUCCUUCAUGUUAUGUUUGUAAAAUGCAUCCACGUGUUUGGGGGUAUAACUGCACUUCCUUUGCAUAUGUUGCUAUAAUACUCCAGUCGUGUGUGAAUAGAUCACAGUUGCCUGUUAUCUUGUCUGUGGGGCAGGGAGGAAGCCGCUCUGCCUUAGACAUGCGAUGCUGAGACGUCUGUUAGGGCUCAGUGCAGGCACUGAGCAGACAGGUGGCCAUGCAAGCCUGCCGUUCAGGAGAGAGGUCGGGGAUGGAGAUGGUGGCAUGUGGACCACAUCUAAAGCAUCGUUUCUCCAGCCGCUUCUAGAAUGCUAUUUAACCCAGCCACUGAGAUACUUAUUUUAAAAAUAUAUUUUAUUUCUUAAAGUUCUAUCUUUGUUUUCCUUUUUCACUUGCUGGUCACUUGCUGAAGUGUGACUUGUAAAAGAAUAAGUGACAAGAAUAUGAGCUUCCUCGAAAAUAAGGGAAAGUGUUUUGUAAACCCUCACGGGCUGUGAAAAGGUGAAGUAGUAUUAUGUUAGGAACUCUGGGAUUUUCAUGAGGUCCAAAUAAAACUGUAUAUAUAAAUUAAAAAUAAAAACAUGUACACUCAGUUAUCAUAUUGGGUUUUAAUACCUGGUUAACUUUUAGCUAAUAGCUAAUGUUCACCUGGUGCUUACUUUACAUGUAUUAACGCAUCUAAUCUUCACAACAGCCUGUGACUGGUAGCUACUACUUAUUCAUAUUUUACAGACAAGAAAACUAAAAGGUCUAGGUGGUAGACCCAGGACUUGAAUCCACCGAGUUGGCUUCUAAAAGCUGUGCUCUUAGCUGCUCUGCGGAUCUUCCCCCUUUUAAAUGGCAGGUCUCACCCAGUGCCUUCCACUUCAAGAUUCCAAAAAUGUGAGGGCCACCUUGAACCCACCCACAAAACAGCACUGCAGGCAGUGGACCCUGGCCAAGGGCCUUCUCUCUACUGACUUAGUUUCACCACUGACCCCGUCCUCAGACCUCACAGGGCACUGACCUCCCAUCAAGUGCCCACUCUGCACUCGUUGAAAAUGUCGUCUCCUUGAUGUAAGUUAUUUGCCUGAAGCCACCCAAUGAGUCAGUAGCCGGCCAGGCACUGGAAUCUGGUCUCUUGCCUUUCGAACACCACAUGUGUUUGGUGUUAAUAAAACCGUAUUUCUCCAGGGGAUCUGGCAAAAAUUUGAAAGUGCUUAACUUGACUGCAGUAAAUACUAAGAAAUCCCUUUUAAAGCAAAGAAGCCAAGCCCAGCCCGGGAAAACACAGUUUGUCCUGCGGGCCUUCGACGAGCUCACUUUGGCACCAGGAUCAGAUCCUAGAUGGGUCGGCCUCGCUUGGUUCCAACUCCUGCUGGGGCUGCUGGAAGCCGCAGCGAGACCUGGAAAUACUCUUGAGGAUGACACUGGAAUGUGUCGCUCCUCCCCACAGUCAGCAGGUCCCAGCUGAUUGUCCUCACAUUCCUGGGACAUGGUGACACAGGGCAGGACCCAGGUGAACGAGCCAGGCUGUCAGAAUCGACGCCUCUCUGCCUGCCUGCUGUGUGACGUGCCGUGCAGUUCGCUUCCCGUGUUUGUGAAUGUGCCUUAUCUCCUGAGCCACGCCAGGCGAGGGGAAGGUGCAGGCGUGCGCGACAAGGGGAAGAAAAUAGAGUCAUGGACGGCUUGCGUGCAGGGAGUGGCUUAUUACUUUGUCAUCAGAAUAAUUCUGGGCAUGUUGUGGACCCUCGGCUAACAACGUGAUUAGGAAACAGUUUCACUGAGCAAAAUGUUCUCAAAAGCCGAGCUUCCGAGGUGGAUCUGAUUGUGCUCAGGCCGGAGCUGGGUUUGCAUGUAUUUUACAGAAGGCAGGUUAUCACGGGACACCCGAAUGAAGGCCCACAAGGGCACGCUUGGAUCCUUUUAAUUCUCACAGUUCCCAGGGCAGCCACGGAUGAUGGAAGUUCACGUCCAGCUCUGCCUUGACAGACGGGCAUCAGGCAAAAGCCAGUUGUGGCAAACACGGACCACCUUGGGGCUGCACUCAGCUCAGCAGGUUAAGCUUCAUGUCAGUAACCGUCCCUAGACAAGAUGCUUCAAAACCACAAGGGUCUCUCUGGACUCUCCGUCCCUUAGAAGGAGUCUGUGUUCCCGCUUUCUCUGCGGUGCACGUGACAGCCGCAGAGACAGAGGCCCACGCCCAGGGCCGGGCCAGGCGGCCACCAGCCCGUGAGCGCUGGUCUGCGAUGCAGCUCUGUCAGCUGUGGGCUGCGUGAGCAGGGCAAGUCCCUCUGCCCUGUGUGGGUGGCGAUGCCCAUCGUAGGAUAUGUUGCGUGAGGAAGAGCACCUUGACGCUCCCCUACAGCCAGGCGAUUGGGGGACCCUCUUAGUGACAUGCCUGCCUUCGCAGUCGUCAGCUCUGAGGUCGUCCUCCGCCCCCAGUGCCCUGCUCCGUAGGUAAAUGACUUCGUCAUCAGGAAGCUGCAUGCCGACGCAGGUGGUCAUGAGAAGAACUGCCUGAGUGAGAACCAGCUCUUCUUUCCCACAUGGACACCCGUGGUUAAAAUCGAGCCUCUUUGUCUCUAGGACACGAACAAAUAGAAAUACCAGAUCUUUAUCACAGUUCUUAAACUUGGAGAGACGUAGCCCUGUUCUUACACACAGAUAAGGUGGAAGGUCAGUGUCAGGAGUGCCUGCUUGCGUGGCUGGCGUACAGAUAAAACAUGAAAGAUCAAGGAGCAAUUAUCCUCAUUGCCCUGCCUCUGUGUCAUAAAUAAUCAUUUUAAUUUAAUGUUAAGAGAUUGCUGGGGGUUAUCUUGAGAUUUAUGAGAUAAUGGUUACAAAGAAUUUUCAGUUCUGUGCAUGAGCAUUCUGAUGAAACUCUGAAAGUCCUCUUUCCAUUCACUAAAACUAGUGUAGGUGUUGCUGCAACACUUUUUCCUUCCCUUCCUCCUCUUACUACUUGUCUCUUUCCCCUCUCCUGCCUCCUUCCACCCAUCCAUCCACAGUGUUUACACAGGGAUAACCCAGACAUCAGUCCGUCCUCCGUGGCAUCUGCAGACGAGUGGGAGAACAGGGCAGCGUGCAAAGGCUAGGAUGUGCUACAGGGAAAAGAACGUGUACAGAAAAGAAUCUGAAUCAAACCUGGUGUGAACUCCGGGUGUACAUAUUCAGAAACUAAGGGUAACGACAGAGGGUGGAUUCUUGAGCAUACAGACUUGGGUUUUUAUAAAGCUGUCUAGUACAGAGUCACUCUUGGAGAGACGACUGUGAUGAGCUUGUUUUCACAUAGGUAAAGGGUAGGUCGGUCGGAGGACUGGAGGGGUUUUCCUAACGAGCUGAAAUGCCGAUCUGUAAAAGCUAAUUUCUCACAUGUGAAUUUUAGGGUUGGUGGUGACUGUUGGCUGAGUUGUGAUAAACCAGAGGAGAAAACUUUUUAUUAGCUCUCUGUUCCUAAAGGAAGUGUACGGAAAAGUCCCCUCACUGUCCUCACACCGAAAACAGGAAUCAGGCCGUCUGUUUGUGCAACACUUGGCGGACAGGAGAGCGCGGAUGUAAGGAGGGCCACCGUCCCUGCUGAGGCUGGCCCCUGGCUGGCCGGUCUGCCCGUGCAGGCGUGGCUGCAACCCCUGAUGCCCCGGCGCGUCCCUGUUUCCUGUCCCCUGGAAAGAGGGCUGUGGAUCUCGGCUCUCCGGUCCUCACCACCAAAGCAGGCAAACGCAAUGCCUUCUGUUCAGGGAACAUGGCUGGUGUCUCAGGUCCCAGGAUCUUUCUCGAGUCCCAGGGGGGCAAAUCUUGUCUCCUGUUUUUUGGCCCUUCUGACUAAAAGCAGCCAGGGACUUUAAACAGAGGAGAAAAUUCAAGCAGAAAUCUGCUACAGCUGGAAAUUAUCUUUAAAAUGACCUUUCCUUAUUAGAACACUAGUUCAUUGAAAGUUUGUUCACAUUUGCGCUUGAUCUGAUGUUUAAGUGAUUUAAAAAUAAAGAACUCACUUUAAUGUUAACAGUUCACUCCACUGUCAUAUCCGUGGAGUUCUAGGUCUUUGUGAACAAAUUAAGUACGGUGCCUUCUUUAUGACACAAUUAAAUCUAGAUCCCAGUGAUAUUUGGCACCUACUAAAUACCCAGAUGGGCACAGCGUCCGCCUUGAAGUGAAGACGUGCGUAGAGUUUUAAUCACAUAAUGAUUUAUUUUUGCUCUUUUAAAUACCACCUUUUCAAUAGUUGCUUCUGAAUGAAUGAAUGAAUGAUUAUUUACUGUGGUUUAUAACUAGGAAUUUGAACAUUAAAAAAUUCUAAUCAAGA
RNA transcript from Myotis daubentonii (Daubenton's bat), 7199 nucleotides. RefSeq lists it as uncharacterized. NCBI's taxonomy places the organism in Eukaryota, Metazoa, Chordata, Mammalia, Chiroptera, Vespertilionidae. The record is from RefSeq and is a predicted model, not a curated record.